Molecule: ribosomal RNA, 309 nt
Filed under: uncultured bacterium
Lineage: Bacteria
Description: bacterial SSU rRNA
Rfam family: Bacterial small subunit ribosomal RNA
Source: RNAcentral
CGAUUAGGGAAUAUUGGUCAAUGGAGGCAACUCUGAACCAGCCAUGUCGCGUGUAGGAAGAAGGCGUUCUGCGUUGUAAACUACUUUUGAUUGGGAACAAAUGACUCUUGCGAGAGUAGCUGAGUGUACCAAUAGAAUAAGCCACGGCUAACUACGUGCCAGCAGCCGCGGUAAUACGUAGGUGGCAAGCGUUGUCCGGAUUUAUUGGGUUUAAAGGGUGCGUAGGCGGCUUAAUAAGUCAGUGGUGAAAGCCGAUCGCUUAACGAUCGAACUGCCAUUGAUACUGCUAGGCUUGAGUAUAGUUGAGGU